GGUGUAACGACUUGGGCACUGUCUCGGCCAUGAGCUCGGUGAAAUUGUGGUCCCGGUGAAGACGCCGGGUACCCGCAACGGGACGGAAAGACCCCAUGCACCUUCACUAUAAUUUAACAUUGACAUUGGAUACAGGAUGUGUAGGAUAGGUGGGAGACUAUGAAGCGGCGUCGCCAGGCGUCGUGGAGUCAACGUUGAAAUACCACCCUUUCUGUAUUCGGUGUCUAACCCGACUAGUUCGGGGACAUUGUUUGAUGGGUAGUUUGACUGGGGUGGUCGCCUCCAAAAAGGUAACGGAGGCUUUCAAAGGUAAGCUCAAUACGCUUGGUAACCGUAUGAGGAGUGCAAUAGCAUAAGCUUGCUUGACUGUGAGGCAGACAAGCCGAGCAGGGUCGAAAGACGGAUAUAGUGAUCCGGUGGUUCUGCAUGGAAGGGCCAUCGCUCAAAGGAUAAAAGGUACGCUGGGG
This 467-nucleotide ribosomal RNA is filed under the name uncultured Pelagophyceae. Its description in RNAcentral is "partial Bacterial large subunit ribosomal RNA". It matches the Rfam family "Bacterial large subunit ribosomal RNA", at positions 1998 to 2473 of the family's 2925-position model. Lineage: Eukaryota; Pelagophyceae. The record is from RNAcentral.